AAAGCCUGGUUGAAUUCCUGGAGGAAAAUCCUGUAAGAGUGUGAAAUUUCCUGUCCAAAAAGUCAUCGCUAAGACAGAUAUCAAGAAACUUACUGCUUAUGUUUCAUUUUAGUAGUUUCAUGGUUUUAGAUGUCACAUUCAAGUCUUUAAUCCAUUUUGAGUUAAUUUUUGUGUAUGGUAUAAGAGUGGUCCAUAUUAUUCUGUUGCAUGCAGUUGUCCAGAUUUCCCAGCACUAUUUAUUGAAGAGACUGUCCUUUCCUCAUUGUGUAUUUUUGGCUCCUUUGUUGUCCAUUAAAUGAUUGUA
Long non-coding RNA from Lynx canadensis (Canada lynx), 304 nucleotides. RefSeq lists it as uncharacterized. The transcript has 3 exons. The record is from RefSeq and is a predicted model, not a curated record. NCBI's taxonomy places the organism in Eukaryota, Metazoa, Chordata, Mammalia, Carnivora, Felidae.